CAGCGGCUCCUCUCUGAACUGAGGCCUUCGCGCUACGAUAACCACGGGUCUCUUGAAAAAGAAGUUCUAUUCUUCACCACUUAAAUAAGACUCAGAGAAGAACAGAAGCAGAAGAGAAGAGAAACUCCAGAACUUUUCCUGGAACAUAGGAAAGGCUGGAUGCAGUCUCAGGAAAGUGGAAUAUGAUGGCUAUUUCUAACAGAACUUCUGUUUAAAAGAUUGGCUGAAGUAACCUAGAGCUCAGGCAUGAAUGACUUGACUGAUUUUUGUGGAAGUUAGGUACU
Molecule: long non-coding RNA, 284 nt
Organism: Pipra filicauda (Wire-tailed manakin)
Lineage: Eukaryota; Metazoa; Chordata; Aves; Passeriformes; Pipridae
Exons: 3
Source: RefSeq, a predicted model, not a curated record